UUAAGCGACUAAGCGUACACGGUGGAUGCCCUGGCAGUCAGAGGCGAUGAAGGACGUGCUAAUCUGCGAAAAGCGUCGGUAAGGUGAUAUGAACCGUUAUAACCGGCGAUGUCCGAAUGGGGAAACCCAGUGCAAUUCGUUGCACUAUCGUUAACUGAAUACAUAGGUUAACGAGGCGAACCGGGGGAACUGAAACAUCUAAGUACCCCGAGGAAAAGAAAUCAACCGAGAUUCCCCCAGUAGCGGUGAGCGAACGGGGAGCAGCCCAGAGUCUGAAUCAGCUUGUGUGUUAGUGGAACGGUCUGGAAAGUCCGACGGUACAGGGUGAUAGUCCCGUACACCAAAAUGCACAGGUUGUGAACUCGAAGAGUAGGGCGGGACACGUGGUAUCCUGUCUGAAUAUGGGGGGACCAUCCUCCAAGGCUAAAUACUCCUGACUGACCGAUAGUGAACCAGUACCGUGAGGGAAAGGCGAAAAGAACCCCGGCGAGGGGAGUGAAAAAGAACCUGAAACCGUGUACGUACAAGCAGUGGGAGCACCUUCGGGUGUGACUGCGUACCUUUUGUAUAAUGGGUCAGCGACUUAUAUUCUGUAGCAAGGUUAACCGUAUAGGGGAGCCGCAGGGAAACCGAGUCUUAACUGGGCGUUAAGUUGCAGGGUAUAGACCCGAAACCCGGUGAUCUAGCCAUGGGCAGGUUGAAGGUUGGGUAACACUAACUGGAGGACCGAACCGACUAAUGUUGAAAAAUUAGCGGAUGACUUGUGGCUGGGGGUGAAAGGCCAAUCAAACCGGGAGAUAGCUGGUUCUCCCCGAAAGCUAUUUAGGUAGCGCCUCGUGAACUCAUCUUCGGGGGUAGAGCACUGUUUCGGCUAGGGGGUCAUCCCGACUUACCAACCCGAUGCAAACUACGAAUACCGAAGAAUGUUAUCACGGGAGACACACGGCGGGUGCUAACGUCCGUCGUGAAGAGGGAAACAACCCAGACCGCCAGCUAAGGUCCCAAAGUCAUGGUUAAGUGGGAAACGAUGUGGGAAGGCACAGACAGCCAGGAUGUUGGCUUAGAAGCAGCCAUCAUUUAAAGAAAGCGUAAUAGCUCACUGGUCGAGUCGGCCUGCGCGGAAGAUGUAACGGGGCUAAACCAUGCACCGAAGCUGCGGCAGCGACACUAUGUGUUGUUGGGUAGGGGAGCGUUCUGUAAGCCUGCGAAGGUGACCUGUGAGGGUUGCUGGAGGUAUCAGAAGUGCGAAUGCUGACAUAAGUAACGAUAAAGCGGGUGAAAAGCCCGCUCGCCGGAAGACCAAGGGUUCCUGUCCAACGUUAAUCGGGGCAGGGUGAGUCGACCCCUAAGGCGAGGCCGAAAGGCGUAGUCGAUGGGAAACAGGUUAAUAUUCCUGUACUUGGUGUUACUGCGAAGGGGGGACGGAGAAGGCUAUGUUAGCCGGGCGACGGUUGUCCCGGUUUAAGCAUGUAGGCUGGUUGUCCAGGCAAAUCCGGAUAAUCAAGGCUGAGGUGUGAUGACGAGGCACUACGGUGCUGAAGUAACAAAUGCCCUGCUUCCAGGAAAAGCCUCUAAGCAUCAGGUAACAUUAAAUCGUACCCCAAACCGACACAGGUGGUCAGGUAGAGAAUACCAAGGCGCUUGAGAGAACUCGGGUGAAGGAACUAGGCAAAAUGGUGCCGUAACUUCGGGAGAAGGCACGCUGGUGUGUAGGUGAAGCCCCUGCGGGUGGAGCUGAGACCAGUCGAAGAUACCAGCUGGCUGCAACUGUUUAUUAAAAACACAGCACUGUGCAAACACGAAAGUGGACGUAUACGGUGUGACGCCUGCCCGGUGCCGGAAGGUUAAUUGAUGGGGUUAUCCGUAAGGAGAAGCUCUUGAUCGAAGCCCCGGUAAACGGCGGCCGUAACUAUAACGGUCCUAAGGUAGCGAAAUUCCUUGUCGGGUAAGUUCCGACCUGCACGAAUGGCGUAAUGAUGGCCAGGCUGUCUCCACCCGAGACUCAGUGAAAUUGAACUCGCUGUGAAGAUGCAGUGUACCCGCGGCAAGACGGAAAGACCCCGUGAACCUUUACUAUAGCUUGACACUGAACAUUGAGCCUUGAUGUGUAGGAUAGGUGGGAGGCUUUGAAGCGUGGACGCCAGUCUGCGUGGAGCCAACCUUGAAAUACCACCCUUUAAUGUUUGAUGUUCUAACGUUGGCCCCUUAUCGGGGUUGCGGACAGUGUCUGGUGGGUAGUUUGACUGGGGCGGUCUCCUCCCAAAGCGUAACGGAGGAGCACGAAGGUUAGCUAAUCCUGGUCGGACAUCAGGAGGUUAGUGCAAUGGCAUAAGCUAGCUUGACUGCGAGCGUGACGGCGCGAGCAGGUGCGAAAGCAGGUCAUAGUGAUCCGGUGGUUCUGAAUGGAAGGGCCAUCGCUCAACGGAUAAAAGGUACUCCGGGGAUAACAGGCUGAUACCGCCCAAGAGUUCAUAUCGACGGCGGUGUUUGGCACCUCGAUGUCGGCUCAUCACAUCCUGGGGCUGAAGUAGGUCCCAAGGGUAUGGCUGUUCGCCAUUUAAAGUGGUACGCGAGCUGGGUUUAGAACGUCGUGAGACAGUUCGGUCCCUAUCUGCCGUGGGCGCUGGAGAAUUGAGGGGGGCUGCUCCUAGUACGAGAGGACCGGAGUGGACGCAUCACUGGUGUUCGGGUUGUCAUGCCAAUGGCACUGCCCGGUAGCUAAAUGCGGAAGAGAUAAGUGCUGAAAGCAUCUAAGCACGAAACUUGCCCCGAGAUGAGUUCUCCCUGAGACUUUAAGUCUCCUGAAGGAACGUUGAAGACGACGACGUUGAUAGGCCGGGUGUGUAAGCGCAGCGAUGCGUUGAGCUAACCGGUACUAAUGAACCGUGAGGCUUAACCUU
RNAcentral lists this ribosomal RNA (2900 nucleotides) under Klebsiella pneumoniae subsp. rhinoscleromatis. RNAcentral describes it as "bacterial LSU rRNA". It matches the Rfam family "Bacterial large subunit ribosomal RNA". The record is from RNAcentral. Lineage: Bacteria; Pseudomonadati; Pseudomonadota; Gammaproteobacteria; Enterobacterales; Enterobacteriaceae.